RNAcentral lists this unclassified non-coding RNA (376 nucleotides) under uncultured fungus. Its description in RNAcentral is "sequence contains ITS1". The stretch from base 1 to 104 matches the Rfam family "5.8S ribosomal RNA", at positions 50 to 154 of the family's 154-position model. The record is from RNAcentral. Lineage: Eukaryota; Fungi.
GAAAUGCGAUACGUAGUGUGAAUUGCAGAAUCCAGCGAACCAUCGAAGCCUUGAACGCACACUGCACCUGCAGGCGAACUGCAGGUACGCCUGUUCGAGCGUCGGCUCAACAUCGAACCCAGCAUCCCCACGGGGGUGCUGCAGUCCGGAGCUGGGUGUCCUCCUCUCAGGGAGGUCACCUCGAAUCGAGGCACCGGCGACCACCUGGGUCAGCCCCACCACGAGCCUGCGAGGAGGUUCCCUUCUUUGGGUGAGGGGUGGGACGGCGAAGGUCCAGGAGGAGCGCGAAGGGGCGAGCAGGAGGAGGGGAUCUCCCCUCCGGAGAGCACGCGAAAACCUCGACCUCGAAUCAGGCGAGACCACCCGCUGAACUUAA